GUGGGGAAUAUUGGACAAUGGGGGGAACCCUGAUCCAGCCAUGCCGCGUGUGUGAAGAAGGCCUUUUGGUUGUAAAGCACUUUAAGCGAGGAGGAGGCUACCGAGAUUAAUACUCUUGGAUAGUGGACGUUACUCGCAGAAUAAGCACCGGCUAACUCUGUGCCAGCAGCCGCGGUAAUACAGAGGGUGCAAGCGUUAAUCGGAUUUACUGGGCGUAAAGCGCGCGUAGGUGGCCAAUUAAGUCAAAUGUGAAAUCCCCGAGCUUAAGUUGGGAAUUGCAUUCGGUACUGGUUGGCUAGAGUAUGGGAGAGGAUGGUAGAAUUCCAGGUGUAGCGGUGAAAUGCGUAGAGAUCUGGAGGAAUACCGAUGGCGAAGGCAGCCAUCUGGCCUAAUACUGACACUGAGGUGCGAAAGCAUGGGGAGCAAACAGGAUUAGAUACCCUUGUAGUCC
Molecule: ribosomal RNA, 451 nt
Filed under: uncultured bacterium
Lineage: Bacteria
Description: partial 16S ribosomal RNA
Rfam family: Bacterial small subunit ribosomal RNA
Source: RNAcentral